Molecule: transfer RNA, 115 nt
Filed under: Roseateles sp.
Lineage: Bacteria; Pseudomonadati; Pseudomonadota; Betaproteobacteria; Burkholderiales; Sphaerotilaceae
Description: tRNA-Phe
Source: RNAcentral
AGGAAACAAGGUGGGGAGUUCAUAGAGAAAAUGUGUCCCAGGAUUUCCGUACAAAUCUAUUUUCCCCGCGUUGACAUGGUGGGGGUCGUUGGUUCGAAUCCAAUCGCGCCUACCA